RNAcentral lists this transfer RNA (72 nucleotides) under Crocodylus niloticus (Nile crocodile). RNAcentral describes it as "tRNA-Leu". Lineage: Eukaryota; Metazoa; Chordata; Crocodylia; Crocodylidae. The record is from RNAcentral.
GCUUUUAAAGGAUAACAGUCUUCCAUCGGCUUUAGGAGCCGAGCAUCUUGGUGCAACGUCCAAGUGAAAGCA